CACGUAGGCGGAUCAAUUAGUUGAGGGUGAAAUCCCGGGGCUCAACCUCGGAACUGCCUUCAAUACUGUUGAUCUUGAGUCCGAGAGAGGUGAGUGGAAUUCCUAGUGUAGAGGUGAAAUUCGUAGAUAUUAGGAAGAACACCAGUGGCGAAGGCGGCUCACUGGCUCGGUACUGACGCUGAGGUGCGAAAGCGUGGGGAGCAAACA
Molecule: ribosomal RNA, 207 nt
Filed under: uncultured bacterium
Lineage: Bacteria
Description: partial 16S ribosomal RNA
Rfam family: Bacterial small subunit ribosomal RNA
Source: RNAcentral